This is a long non-coding RNA of Balaenoptera musculus (blue whale), 104 nucleotides long. RefSeq lists it as uncharacterized. The record is from RefSeq and is a predicted model, not a curated record. The transcript has 3 exons. NCBI's taxonomy places the organism in Eukaryota, Metazoa, Chordata, Mammalia, Artiodactyla, Balaenopteridae.
AGUGAAUACGCUGUUCAAAAAGUUGUUGGUGAAAAUGAAAAAUGUGUCUUUUUGCUUUACCUAAAAACCAAAGGAAUUUUUUGGCCAACUCAAUACUUACAUGU